UAACUGAAGAGUUUGAUCAUGGCUCAGAUUGAACGCUGGCGGCAGGCUUAACACAUGCAAGUCGAGCGGGGAAAGGUAGCUUGCUACCGGACCUAGCGGCGGACGGGUGAGUAAUGCUUAGGAAUCUGCCUAUUAGUGGGGGACAACAUCUCGAAAGGGAUGCUAAUACCGCAUACGUCCUACGGGAGAAAGCAGGGGAUCUUCGGACCUUGCGCUAAUAGAUGAGCCUAAGUCGGAUUAGCUAGUUGGUGGGGUAAAGG
This 260-nucleotide ribosomal RNA is filed under the name Finegoldia magna. RNAcentral describes it as "partial 16S ribosomal RNA". It matches the Rfam family "Bacterial small subunit ribosomal RNA", at positions 1 to 263 of the family's 1533-position model. Lineage: Bacteria; Bacillati; Bacillota; Tissierellia; Tissierellales; Peptoniphilaceae. The record is from RNAcentral.